AAUCAACGCUGGCGGCGUGCCUAACACAUGCAAGUCGAACGCGAAAGCCCCGCAAGGGUCAGUAGAGUGGCAAACGGGUGAGUAACGCGUGGGUGACCUGCCUUCGAGUGGGGGAGUAACGUCUCGAAAGGGACGCUAAUACCGCAUGACAUCUUGCCUUUGAAGAGGUGACGAUCAAAGCCGGGGUCGCAAGACCUGGCGCUUGAAGAGGGGCCCGCGUCCGAUUAGCAGUUGGUGAGGUAAUGCUCACCAAGGCGACGAUCGGUAGCCGGCCUAAGAGGGCGGACGGCCACACUGGGACUGAGACACGGCCCAGACUCCUACGGGAGGCAGCAGUGGGGAAUUGUUCGCAAUGGGCGCAAGCCUGACGACGCAACGCCGCGUGGAGGACGAAGAUCUUCGGGUCGU
This 408-nucleotide ribosomal RNA is filed under the name uncultured bacterium. RNAcentral describes it as "bacterial SSU rRNA". It matches the Rfam family "Bacterial small subunit ribosomal RNA", at positions 29 to 426 of the family's 1533-position model. The record is from RNAcentral.